RNAcentral lists this long non-coding RNA (1057 nucleotides) under Dromaius novaehollandiae (emu). Its description in RNAcentral is "lncRNA (ENSDNVG00000005603.1)". The record is from RNAcentral. Lineage: Eukaryota; Metazoa; Chordata; Aves; Casuariiformes; Dromaiidae.
UUCUCCAUCUUUCUCUCUUUUCUUCUCUCCCUUUCUUCCUCCCUCUUCUCUCUCCCCCCUCUAGUCUCUUCUUUCUCUUUUCCUUUCUCCCCUUUUCUUUUUCCCUUUCUCUCUUUUCCCUUUUUCUCUUUGUUCCUCUCUCCAUCUUUCUCUCUCCAUCUUUCUCUUUCCCUCUUCCUUUCUCUCUUCCUUUCUCUUCCUCUUUCUCUCUCACUCCCUCUCUCUUGCUUUCAUUUAUCUCAUUCUGUUCUCUCCGUCUCUCUACUUGUCUCCUCUCUCCCACUUUCUCUCCCUUUCCUUCUCUGUCAUCUUCUCUCUCUCUCUUCCUCUGUCUUCUGUAUUUCUCUUCCUCUCUCACUCUUUCACUCUUCUCACUCUGGUUCUCACUCACUCCUUCCCUCCUUCUUUCUCUUUUGCUUUACCUCACUUUCUCUCUUCCUUUCUUCUUUCUUUCUCCCUCCCUUUCCCUCUCUCUCUCCUUCUCUCCCAGUCUCCUCCUUUCUUUCUCCUUCUUUCUCUCUCUCUCCCUCUCUUUCUUCCUCUUUGUUCCUCUCCCUCUUUUUCAUUCUCCCUCUCCCUCCCUUUCUUCUUUUUCUUUCCCACUUUUUUCUCUCCCUAUCACACUUCCCCUCUAUCUUUUCUUUCUCUCCCUCUUUGUCUUUUGCUUUCCUCCCUUCUCUCCUACCACUCUCUUCUUUCCCCAUCACCAUCUCUCCCUCUUUGCCUUUCUCCUUCUUUGCCCGGCCCCAGUGCUGCGCCCCCCCCGCACCCGCGGUCCUGCCAUGCCCCUUGGGGAGCAGCYCUGCCCGCUGCCCCCUCGGGGCCCCUCUCAGUGCCUUCCAGUGUCCCCRGAGUCCCCAGGCACCUCCCAGUGCCCCCCAGUAGCCCCAGUGCUCCCCACGCCCCCACUUGCCCCUCGGUCCCUCUGCUCCCCCUGGGGGCCCUCCCAGCCCUAGUCCUAGUCCCACCCCAUCAGCCCUCUCACUCCAGUUCACCCUGGUCUCCCUGGGCAACUCUGGGUGCCCCCUCAUUUCCCCAGGCACCUCCUGGUAUCCCC